Molecule: unclassified non-coding RNA, 943 nt
Filed under: Hevea brasiliensis (rubber tree)
Lineage: Eukaryota; Viridiplantae; Streptophyta; Magnoliopsida; Malpighiales; Euphorbiaceae
Source: RNAcentral
GCACAAUAUUAUUGAUUCCUCAUCAUAACACCUUUAAAACCACAUGAACAAAGACAGACACUCUAGGUUAUGGUCCUUACAGAAAAUACCACAUAUAAUGCAACAUGCGCCCCCCAGUCUACAAUCAGCUAUCUCACUUCUACACUUUCUUGGAUAUGGUAGCCAAAUUCAAAGUAUUCCCAUACUUCACUGCCAGAGCUUUUCCACACCAGCCAUGACUAUCAUCCAGAGUCGGCAUCCUCACCUCAACAAAAGGCGAAGCCGCACGCUGAGCACCUGGCAGGAGCGCACCAGCCAAAACCCUAAGCACAUUCGAAGCAUCAAUGUCCAUACACACACUAAUCUCAACCGACCCUUUAGCAGCUGCAGGAAUCCCAGAGAUCUUGAAGUACCCCAAGAGGUGAUUCUCCUCAGCAUUCUUCCCCUCCCCUUCAUAAACAACAAUCAGCGCCUCAGUCUGGUCAUCAUGUGCAGUCGUGAACAGCAUGUCUUUCCUCGCAGGGGUUGCAGUGUUGCGGUGUAUAAUCUUCACGAAGGUAUCACCGUCUACACGUAUCCCAAGACUCAGAGGUGUGGCCUGAAUUGUCAGCAGGUCCAAGCUCCCCGAAGGAUCACCAACCCCCGAAGCAAUGGCUCCUUCUAGCGCAGCACCGCAAACCGCAGCCUCCAGUGGAUCGAUGCUCUCAUAGGCAGCAUUUUUUUUACACAGCCCCAGAACCAGAGUUCUGAUCUUCGGUAUGUUCGAACAUCCGCCUACAAGGAUCACAUCAUUAACAUUUUCCGCAACCAACUUUGCAUCAACCAAGCUCUGGAUUACGAGUUUCCCACACGUCUCGAAUAAUUCACUGUUAAUUUCCUCGAACUCCAAUCUCUCCAACACUCUGCUAAUAAUUUUCCCUCCACCCAAAUCCACAUUGAUUUCAACCCUCUUCUGCUCGCUAAG